GUUCCGGACGCGGCCGCCGCCGUCGCCGCCAUCUGUCACCUCUACUCCGGCAUCAGCAGCCAGUCGCCCCUGCCCCGCCUGUCUCCUCGGCGGAGCCUGCUGCCAGUCCUGCCACCUCUCUGCUCUGUUCUUGUCUCUGCCUUCAUCCUCGAAUGGAUCUGGUAGGAGUGGCAUCGCCUGAGCCCGGGCCGGCAGCGGCCUGGGGACCCAGCAAGUGUCCAUGGGCUAUCCCUCAAAAUACAAUAUCUUGUUCUUUGGCUGAUGUAAUGAGUGAACAGCUGGCCAAAGAAUUGCAGUUAGAAGAAGAAGCUGCCAUUUUUCCUGAAGUUGCUGUUGCUGAAGGACCAUUUAUUACUGGAGAAAACAUUGAUACUUCCAGUGACCUUAUGCUGGCUCAGAUGCUACAGAUGGACUAUGACAGAGAAUAUGAUGCACAGCUUAGGCGUGAAGAAAAAAAAUUCAAUGGAGAUAGCAAAGGUACUAUAACCUUAUUGUGACAACCUCAUUGAGUGGUAGAAAACACUCAUAACGUGCUCCUAAGUAAAUUUUCAACUAUUUUUGCUUCUUAAGUUUCCAUUUCCUUUGAAAAUUAUCGAAAAGUGCAUCCUUAUGAAGACAGCGAUAGCUCUGAAGAUGAGGUUGACUGGCAGGAUACUCGU
This 659-nucleotide small RNA is filed under the name Pongo abelii (Sumatran orangutan). RNAcentral's name for it is "retained intron". The record is from RNAcentral. Lineage: Eukaryota; Metazoa; Chordata; Mammalia; Primates; Hominidae.